Small nuclear RNA from Manis javanica (Malayan pangolin), 191 nucleotides. RefSeq annotates it as U2 spliceosomal RNA. NCBI's taxonomy places the organism in Eukaryota, Metazoa, Chordata, Mammalia, Pholidota, Manidae. The record is from RefSeq and is a predicted model, not a curated record.
AUCACCUUUUGGCCUUUUGGUUAAGAUCAAGUACAAUAUUUGUUCUUAUUAGUUUACUAUCUGAUACAUUGUCUAUCCCAGGACACUACAGUAAGUGGGUUUUUGGAGGCAGAACAUACAAUAGGAGCUUGUGCCGUCCAUUCCACCCAUCAAACUGGUAUCCCAGUACCAGCAGGAAUAGGGCAUAGGGU